This 500-nucleotide ribosomal RNA is filed under the name uncultured Glomeromycotina. RNAcentral describes it as "partial small subunit ribosomal RNA". It matches the Rfam family "Eukaryotic small subunit ribosomal RNA", at positions 591 to 1092 of the family's 1831-position model. Lineage: Eukaryota; Fungi; Glomeromycota. The record is from RNAcentral.
CCAAUAGCGUAUAUUAAAGUUGUUGCAGUUAAAAAGCUCGUAGUUGAAUUUCGGGAUCAUCAGGUUGGUCGUGCCUUCGGUAUGUACUUGCUUCGGUGGCCCCUCCUUCUUGAAGAACCGUAAUGCCAUUAAUUUGGUGUUGCGGGGAAACAGGACUGUUACUUUGAAAAAAUUAGAGUGUUUAAAGCAGGCAAUCGCUUGAAUACAUUAGCAUGGAAUAAUGAAAUAGGACGUUCGAUCUUAUUUUGUUGGUUUCUAGGAUUGACGUAAUGAUUAAUAGGGAUAGUUGGGGGCAUUAGUAUUCAAUUGUCAGAGGUGAAAUUCUUGGAUUUAUUGAAGACUAACUACUGCGAAAGCAUUUGCCAAGGAUGUUUUCAUUAAUCAAGAACGAAAGUUAGGGGAUCGAAGACGAUCAGAUACCGUCGUAGUCUUAACCAUAAACUAUGCCGACUAGGGAUCGGAUGAUGUUAAUUUUUUAAUGACUCAUUCGGCGCCUUACG